UAGGGAAUUUUCGGCAAUGGGGGCAACCCUGACCGAGCAAUGCCGCGUGAAUGAAGAAGAUCUUCGGAUUGUAAAAUUCUGUUAUUGGGGAAGAAAAAUAUGCAUAGGAAAUGAUGUAUAUCUGACGGUACCUGAUGAGGAAGCCCCGGCUAACUAUGUGCCAGCAGCCGCGGUAAUACAUAGGGGGCAAGCGUUAUCCGGAAUUAUUGGGCGUAAAGCGUGCGUAGGCGGUUUAUUAAGUCUGAUGUGAAAGCCCACAGCUUAACUGUGGAAUGUCAUUGGAAACUGGUAAACUAGAGUACGGUAGAGGUAAGUGGAAUUCCAAGUGGAGCGGUGGAAUGCGUAGAGAUUUGGAGGAACACCAGUGGCGAAGGCGGCUUACUGGGCCGGAACUGACGCUGAGGCACGAAAGCGUGGGGAGCAAACAGG
This 429-nucleotide ribosomal RNA is filed under the name uncultured bacterium. RNAcentral's name for it is "bacterial SSU rRNA". It matches the Rfam family "Bacterial small subunit ribosomal RNA", at positions 355 to 776 of the family's 1533-position model. The record is from RNAcentral.